CUCCUUCAAACGAUCCAAUCCACUCACAAAAACAUUCUCGAAAGAAUUUGCUUCAUUUUGAUGCCUAAACACAUCUUGAUCUUCAGGUUUCUUUCCCUUAACAAGAUAACAUCCAAUGCCCUUUGAGUAACAAAUGCCUCCUUUCGGCCCCGAGGAACAUGCAUGCUAGCUUCCUUGCGCCUGCCAGGGAUCUGUUCCCAAUGAAAAGGAAUUGCAACUGGUUCUGUUACUUGAUCUAAAUUGAAAUCCGAAUUAUGAGAACGAAGAGUCUGGCGUCUAUUGAGGUGGGAGUUUUCGAAUUUUUCCCUAUUUGCUCCAUUUGAAGAUUUUGUUGGAGUAGAAGAUCUCCUAACUGACAAAAGCGGCACAUUGAAAUUCAACUUCCUUUCCUCCAUCACUGCUCGCUCCACUAUCAAGCAAAUUCAAAAAUCACCAAUUUCAAAUCAUUGCUUACACAAAAGGAUCCAGGCGAGUUCCUCCAUAUCCCAAUCCUCCAGAAAAAAAAUCUUGCAUGAUCAAAGAAAAACUUGAAAAGAUUUUAGUUUCGUUGAAGUU
RNAcentral lists this unclassified non-coding RNA (555 nucleotides) under Hevea brasiliensis (rubber tree). The record is from RNAcentral. Lineage: Eukaryota; Viridiplantae; Streptophyta; Magnoliopsida; Malpighiales; Euphorbiaceae.